Molecule: ribosomal RNA, 402 nt
Filed under: uncultured Eubacteriales bacterium
Lineage: Bacteria; Bacillati; Bacillota; Clostridia; Eubacteriales
Description: uncultured Clostridiales bacterium partial 16S ribosomal RNA
Rfam family: Bacterial small subunit ribosomal RNA
Source: RNAcentral
UGGGGAAUAUUGCACAAUGGAGGAAACUCUGAUGCAGCAACGCCGCGUGAGUGAUGAAGGUCUUCGGAUUGUAAAACUCUGUCUUCUGGGACGAUAAUGACGGUACCAGAGGAGGAAGCCACGGCUAACUACGUGCCAGCAGCCGCGGUAAUACGUAGGUGGCAAGCGUUGUCCGGAUUUACUGGGCGUAAAGGAUGUGUAGGCGGAUAUUUAAGUGAGAUGUGAAAUCCCCGGGCUUAACUUGGGGGCUGCAUUUCAAACUGGAUGUCUAGAGUGCAGGAGAGGAAAGCAGAAUUCCUAGUGUAGCGGUGAAAUGCGUAGAGAUUAGGAAGAAUACCAGUGGCGAAGGCGGCUUUCUGGACUGUAACUGACGCUGAGGCAUGAAAGCGUGGGGAGCAAACA